Molecule: ribosomal RNA, 485 nt
Filed under: uncultured Latescibacterota bacterium
Lineage: Bacteria; Pseudomonadati; Candidatus Latescibacterota
Description: bacterial SSU rRNA
Rfam family: Bacterial small subunit ribosomal RNA
Source: RNAcentral
AAACUUAAAGGAAUUGACGGGGCCCGCACAAGCGGUGGAGCAUGUGGUUUAAUUCCAUGCAACGCGAGAACCUUACCUGGGCUUGACAUCCCGGGAAUCCCCUGGAAACAGGGGAGUGCCCUUCGGGGAACCCGGUGACAGGUGCUGCAUGGCUGUCGUCAGCUCGUGUCGUGAGAUGUUGGGUUAAGUCCCGCAACGAGCGCAACCCUUAUCCCCAGUUGCCAUCAGGUAAAGCUGGGAACUCUGGGGAGACUGCCGGUGAUAAACCGGAGGAAGCGGGGAUGACGUCAAGUCCUCAUGGCCCUUACAUCCCGGGCUACACACGUGCUACAAUGGCAGGUACAGAGGGCUGCGAAGCCGCGAGGUGGAGCGAAUCCCAGAAAACCUGUCUCAGUCCGGAUUGAAGUCUGCAACUUGACUUCAUGAAGGCGGAAUCGCUAGUAACCGCGAAUCAGCAGGUCGCGAUGAAUACGUUCCCGGGCCUU